Astatotilapia calliptera (eastern happy) is the source of this 745-nucleotide long non-coding RNA. NCBI's taxonomy places the organism in Eukaryota, Metazoa, Chordata, Actinopteri, Cichliformes, Cichlidae. The record is from Ensembl.
CGUGCCAACGCUGUGUAUGUAUGCAAAGUCUGUGCUAAGCUACACUUGACUCGAUAUUUAUCAGGAAGGAUGUAAUCAUGUGAUGUGAUGAUGUCAUCUUUCUGCAGGUCUCUUUUUUCAAGCAGAAGCAGUGACAUCACUGACCUACUCUGACAUCAGGUUGGAGACAAAUACACCACAGGUUGAGAUUACACCUGAGGUCAGCGAGGAUGGGAGCAUAUUCAGGUUGCGCUGCCAGCAGCACGGUGUGUUCAGGUGCAGUGUGACAGGCCUGGUGUUGGAGGGAUUUGGUGACGUGGUGUAUGAGAUGGUUCCCUGGGAUGUGGACUUCCUGUCCUCUAAAGGGCUGCAGGUGGCAGGAGCUCUGUUCAGGUUCCACCUGCUGACUGGGAGCUUCCAGCGACUCCACCUGCCGCAUUGCCAGCUGCUCUCAGAUGGUGGUCAGCACUUCCUAUCUGUAGCUCAUGUCACUGGGGACUGUGUGGACUUUAUCACUCCAGGUCAGGUGACCGAUAGUCAUGUGACAGUUGAUAUCUCGGGCUUCUCGUGCUUUGGUCUGGUGACCCCAGCGCCCAGUGACCAGAUUGCUGGCCUGGUGUUGAUCUUCUCUCAACCCACAAAUUCCACACUGUUUGUCCUGCUGCUGCCCAGGAAUGUCUGCCUCACUCAGGUGAGAAAGGAGUGGAAGCGGCGGAUUGGGGCUGAGUACGUCGAAGCUAUUCCUGACUGCGAACUGAUCCCAAAU